RNAcentral lists this ribosomal RNA (417 nucleotides) under uncultured bacterium. Its description in RNAcentral is "bacterial SSU rRNA". It matches the Rfam family "Bacterial small subunit ribosomal RNA", at positions 29 to 443 of the family's 1533-position model. The record is from RNAcentral.
AUGAACGCUGGCGGCGUGCUUAACACAUGCAAGUCGAGCGAUGAAGUUUCCUUCGGGAAACGGAUUAGCGGCGGACGGGUGAGUAACACGUGGGUAACMUGCCUCAUAGAGUGGAAUAGCCUUCCGAAAGGAAGAUUAAUACCGCAUAAUGUUGAAAGAUGGCAUCAUCAUUCAACCAAAGGAGCAAUCCGCUAUGAGAUGGACCCGCGGCGCAUUAGCUAGUUGGUGGGGUAACGGCCUACCAAGGCGACGAUGCGUAGCCGACCUGAGAGGGUGAUCGGCCACAUUGGGACUGAGACACGGCCCAGACUCCUACGGGAGGCAGCAGUGGGGAAUAUUGCACAAUGGGGGAAACCCUGAUGCAGCAACGCCGCGUGAGUGAUGAAGGUUUUCGGAUCGUAAAGCUCUGUCUUUGGG